RNAcentral lists this long non-coding RNA (246 nucleotides) under Phoenix dactylifera (date palm). RNAcentral describes it as "long non-coding RNA (PDAC_LNC008939)". Lineage: Eukaryota; Viridiplantae; Streptophyta; Magnoliopsida; Arecales; Arecaceae. The record is from RNAcentral.
GUGGCACGCAAUCAUUUCCCUUAUCUUGAAUUAGCACGUCAUCAAGAUUUAACUUUUCAAAGUUAAUAAUUCCUGUAUCAUCAUCAAGAAUAUUUUCUUUCCUAGCAGACUCACUAUCAGACUCUUCAAAUAUGAUAUUUACUGACUCUUCGACUACAAGAGUUCUUUUAUUGAACACUCUGUAUGCCCUGCUAGAUGUGGAGUAUCCUAAGAAGAUACCUUCACCUGACUUGGUAUCAAAUUUAC